GACGAACGCUGGCGGCGUGCUUAACACAUGCAAGUCGAACGGAAAGGCCCUGCUUUUGUGGGGUGCUCGAGUGGCGAACGGGUGAGUAACACGUGAGUAACCUGCCCUUGACUUUGGGAUAACUUCAGGAAACUGGGGCUAAUACCGGAUAGGAGCUCCUGCUGCAUGGUGGGGGUUGGAAAGUUUCGGCGGUUGGGGAUGGACUCGCGGCUUAUCAGCUUGUUGGUGGGGUAGUGGCUUACCAAGGCUUUGACGGGUAGCCGGCCUGAGAGGGUGACCGGCCACAUUGGGACUGAGAUACGGCCCAGACUCCUACGGGAGGCAGCAGUGGGGAAUAUUGCACAAUGGGCGGAAGCCUGAUGCAGCAACGCCGCGUGCGGGAUGACGGCCUUCGGGUUGUAAACCGCUUUCGCCUGUGACGAAGCGUGAGUGACGGUAAUGGGUAAAGAAGCACCGGCUAACUACGUGCCAGCAGCCGCGGUGAUACGUAGGGUGCGAGCGUUGUCCGGAUUUAUUGGGCGUAAAGGGCUCGUAGGUGGUUGAUCGCGUCGGAAGUGUAAUCUCGGGGCUUAACCCUGAGCGUGCUUUCGAUACGGGUUGACUUGAGGAAGGUAGGGGAGAAUGGAAUCCCUGGUGGAGCGGUGGAAUGCGCAGAUAUCAGGAGGAACACCAGUGGCGAAGGCGGUUCUCUGGGCCUUUCCUGACGCUGAGGAGCGAAAGCGUGGGGAGCGAACAGGCUUAGAUACCCUGGUAGUCCACGCUGUAAACGGUGGGUACUAGGUGUGGGGUCCAUUCCACGGGUUCCGUGCCGUAGCUAACGCUUUAAGUACCCCGCCUGGGGAGUACGGCCGCAAGGCUAAAACUCAAAGGAAUUGACGGGGCCCCGCACAAGCGGCGGAGCAUGCGGAUUAAUUCGAUGCAACGCGUAGAACCCUACCUGGGUUUGACAUGGAUCGGGAGCGCUCAGAGAUGGGUGUGCCUCUUUUGGGGUCGGUUCACAGGUGGUGCAUGGCUGUCGUCAGCUCGUGUCGUGAGAUGUUGGGUUAAGUCCCGCAACGAGCGCAACCCUUGUUCACUGUUGCCAGCACGUUAUGGUGGGGACUCAGUGGAGACCGCCGGGGUCAACUCGGAGGAAGGUGGGGAUGACGUCAAGUCAUCAUGCCCCUUAUGUCCAGGGCUUCACGCAUGCUACAAUGGCUGGUACAGAGAGUGGCGAGCCUGUGAGGGUGAGCGAAUCUCGGAAAGCCGGUCUCAGUUCGGAUUGGGGUCUGCAACUCGACCUCAUGAAGUCGGAGUCGCUAGUAAUCGCAGAUCAGCAACGCUGCGGUGAAUACGUUCCCGGG
Molecule: ribosomal RNA, 1343 nt
Filed under: uncultured bacterium
Lineage: Bacteria
Description: 16S ribosomal RNA
Rfam family: Bacterial small subunit ribosomal RNA
Source: RNAcentral